RNA transcript from Hevea brasiliensis (rubber tree), 1002 nucleotides. RefSeq lists it as uncharacterized. Lineage: Eukaryota; Viridiplantae; Streptophyta; Magnoliopsida; Malpighiales; Euphorbiaceae. The transcript has 6 exons. The record is from RefSeq and is a predicted model, not a curated record.
UGAGCGACGGUUUCGUUUCUCUCUACGAAAACCAAACGCUCUAUCUUAACGUGUCUCUCUCUCUCGCUUUUUCAGUUUCCUUCUUCUUUCCCCCUCCUUAUUUGCUUAAGCUCUGUUUGUUUCUUGCGAAAAACUCAUCACUUGUUAAACUACCGUCUCUUUAUCUUUGACGGGUUGGUGUUGGUAUUGGUAUCUUAGUUCAGUGUAUUCACACACAUAUAAGUGCUAGAAAUAAAGAGGUUUAAGGAAGGGUGAGAAAUGGAGGAAAAGAAGGUGGGCUCGUCUUCCUCUUUCACUUCUGAGCUCUUUGGCUCCAAGGAUUCUACAUCUUCUACUGGGAUUUUUGGCUCUAUAUUUGCUCCUCCUUCUAAGGUGUUGGGGAGAGGGUUGCUGCGAUCUGAAGUGUUGGGAAAGAAGCAAGAUUAUGCAAAUGAAGCUUGGAACAUCAAACCUGGAACUCCAGAUGAAAUUUCUAAAAGCAAUCAGGGUGAAGGUCAGAACGUGCCAAGUAGAGAUACAAAUUCCUUUUAUCAGGAACAAAGAGUACAGCCAUGUCCUCUCAGUUCAUCAAUCUAUUAUGGUGGUCAGGACAUUUAUCAUCAUCCCCAGAAUAGCCAGAGCUCUAAUAAGACCUCAAUGGUCAAGAAAGAUGGGACAGAAGAUGACUCUGGGAGUGCUUCUAGAGGAAACUGGUGGCAGGGGUCUCUCUAUUACUAAGAUUUCACCUGCCAUGACAUACUUACCUAGGUAUUUGUUUCUUGGAGACUUUCAAUAAGGUUUUGACACUUCCUUUUUCUUUUUAUCUAUGCCCAAGGUUAGGAGCCUUUUCUUAUAUAUGGAAGAUGUGGAGUAGCAGGCAGAUCACAGCAGAUGGCGGGUUGUUUCUUCAGCCAAAGUCAUGCUAGCAUGAAAAAUUAGCUUGCCUGCUUUUUGUAAAUAUAUAAGAUGUUUGGUUUAGGACCUUAUAAGUAUGGAUAAAUAAUAUGCACUCCCUUUUCUCUA